This 834-nucleotide long non-coding RNA is filed under the name Ananas comosus (pineapple). RNAcentral's name for it is "long non-coding RNA (ACOM_LNC013480)". Lineage: Eukaryota; Viridiplantae; Streptophyta; Magnoliopsida; Poales; Bromeliaceae. The record is from RNAcentral.
GAUGCACUUUCUAAUCCGUUAGACAUUGAUAUUAUGAUUCUAAUGUCUACAACUAAGUUGAAUCACCAUAAUCAUGAAUUAACACUUUACCUGGAUAUCGUGAUUCAAAGUGUGAGUUGUUUUCCAACUUCUUCGAAAUCUUGAAUUCUUCGAUCUUCGACAAUACGCACCGAUUCUUCAAGACUCCGACUCACUUCACGAAACUUGCCAACACUCAAGACUUAACAAUCUCCCCCUUUGGCAAUUUCGUGACAAAACUCACACAAACUCAAAAAUUACAAUUUAAAGAAAAAACGAAGUUCAAUUGUCAUCACCAAAACAUUGAACUCCUCGCGUGUAAUCCAAGUACAAUUUGAAACUUAAACUUACAUCAAAAACUCCUAAAACAGACUCUAUGACUUAGACGCAAUAAGGAGUCUUGAAGUCUUGAUUUCCUGCAAAACAAUUUAUCCAAAAAGAUAUAGAAAGUUAAAUUUACACUUCUCCCCUUUGUUCUUUAUUCCUUCUUCUUUGACAUCCUUACAAUUUACACUUCUCCCCUUUGUUCUUUAUUCCUUCUUCUUUGACAUCCUUACAAUUUACACUUCUCCCCUUUGUUCUUUAUUCCUUCUUCUUCUCGAAAUAUCACUCCUUGUCUCCCUUUGUUCACCUUUGCUUUAGAUCAAUACCUGUUCAUCAUUGUUCCCCCCCUUUUUGUCAAAAAUUGCGAAAGAUAAAAUAUAUAAAGAGAGAAAACAUACUAAAAGCAUAAGAGUAGUCAAAUCAUAGUUACAGGCCUAAAACAAAAGUAAAAACAUGCAAAUGAAAGAUAAGCAAGCAAAGCUAAAACAUCGU